Oncorhynchus keta (chum salmon) is the source of this 343-nucleotide long non-coding RNA. RefSeq lists it as uncharacterized. The transcript is spliced from 3 exons. NCBI's taxonomy places the organism in Eukaryota, Metazoa, Chordata, Actinopteri, Salmoniformes, Salmonidae. The record is from RefSeq and is a predicted model, not a curated record.
GGGGACAGGUGGAUAGAGGCUGUGUUAGAGGGGACAGGUGGAUAGAGGCUGUGUUAGAGGGGACAGGUGGAUAGAGGCUGUGUUAGAGGGGACAGGUGGAUAGAGGCUGUGUUAGAGGGGACAGGUGGAUAGAGGCUGUGUUAGAGGGGACAGGUGGAUAGAGGCUGUGUUAGAGGGGACAGGUGGAUAGAGGCUGUGUUAGAGGGGACAGGUGGAUAGAGGCUGUGUUAGAGGGGACAGGUGGAUAGAGGCUGUGUUAGAGGGGACAGGUGGAUAGAGGCUGUGUUAGAGGGGACAGGUGGAUAGAGGCUGUGUUAGAGGGGACAGGUAGAUAGAGGCUGUG